RNAcentral lists this ribosomal RNA (465 nucleotides) under uncultured bacterium. Its description in RNAcentral is "bacterial SSU rRNA". It matches the Rfam family "Bacterial small subunit ribosomal RNA", at positions 329 to 793 of the family's 1533-position model. The record is from RNAcentral.
UGCCAGACUCCUACGGGAGGCAGCAGUGGGGAAUAUUGCACAAUGGGGGAAAUCCUGAUGCAGCGACGCCGCGUGAGUGAAGAAGUAUUUCGGUACGUAAAGCUCUAUCAGCAGGGAAGAAAAACCGGCCUUAGGGCCGCCAGACGGUACCUGACUAAGAAGCCCCGGCUAACUACGUGCCAGCAGCCGCGGUAAUACGUAGGGGGCAAGCGUUAUCCGGAUUUACUGGGUGUAAAGGGAGCGUAGACGGCGACGCAAGUCUGGAGUGAAAGCCCGGGGCCCAACCCCGGGACUGCUCUGGAAACUGCGUCGCUGGAGUACGGGAGGGGCAGGCGGAAUUCCUGGUGUAGCGGUGAAAUGCGUAGAUAUCAGGAGGAACACCGGCGGCGAAGGCGGCCUGCUGGACCGUGACUGACGUUGAGGCUCGAGAGCGUGGGGAGCAAACAGGAUUAGAUACCCUCGUAG